This 654-nucleotide ribosomal RNA is filed under the name Triticum aestivum (bread wheat). RNAcentral describes it as "partial small subunit ribosomal RNA". Lineage: Eukaryota; Viridiplantae; Streptophyta; Magnoliopsida; Poales; Poaceae. The record is from RNAcentral.
AUGGCCUCCGCCGUCUCGCUCCUCCUCUCGUCCCCGCGCCCGCUCCACCGCGCGGCCCCGUCCCUCCUCAGCCCGCCCGCGCCCCGCCUGCGCCUCCCCCUCCUCGGCCCCUCUCCCGCGACCGCGCUGCUCCCGCGCCGCCCCCUCGCCCCGCCGCCGCGCGCCAACAACGACAACAGCGACGCGGUGGGGGCGCCGGACCGCCUGGUGGCGGCCGUCGCCUACCUCUACCCGUUCCUCGACGGCGCGCACCACGGCCGCUUCCUCGUGGCCCAGUACCCGGUCUUCAACGCCGUCCUCAGCCCGCUCGGCCCCGCCGCGCGCCUCUUCCACUCCUCGCCGCUCACGCCCUUCCUCCUCUUCAUCACCCUCUACUUCGCCGUCGUCCGCAACCAGCAGGCCUUCUCCCGCUUCGUGCGCUUCAACGCCAUGCAGGCCGUCGCGCUCGACGUCCUGCUCAUCGUCCCGGACCUCCUCGCGCAGUCCUUCGCGCCCUCCGGCGCCGGCAUCGGGCUCGACAUCUUCACCAGCCUGGAGAACACCGUCUUCCUCUUCCUGCUCGUCUCCCUCCUCUACGGCGGGGGCGCCUGCCUGCUCGGGAUCACGCCGCGCCUGCCCAUCGUCGCGGACGCGGCCGAGCGCCAGGUGAUGUGA